RNAcentral lists this ribosomal RNA (253 nucleotides) under uncultured bacterium. Its description in RNAcentral is "partial 16S ribosomal RNA". It matches the Rfam family "Bacterial small subunit ribosomal RNA", at positions 524 to 776 of the family's 1533-position model. The record is from RNAcentral.
UACGUAGGGUGCAAGCGUUGUCCGGAAUUAUUGGGCGUAAAGAGCUCGCAGGCGGCUUGUCACGUCGGGUGUGAAAGCCCGGGGCUUAACCCCGGGUCUGCAUUCGAUACGGGCUGGCUAGAGUGUGGUAGGGGAGAUCGGAAUUCCUGGUGUAGCGGUGAAAUGCGCAGAUAUCAGGAGGAACACCGGUGGCGAAGGCGGAUCUCUGGGCCAUUACUGACGCUGAGGAGCGAAAGCGUGGGGAGCGAACAGG